UACGUAGGGGGCAAGCGUUGUCCGGAAUUAUUGGGCGUAAAGAGCGCGUAGGCGGUCCGAUAAGUCGGCUGUGAAAGUCCAGGGCUCAACCCUGGAAAGCCGGCCGAUACUGUCGGACUAGAGUCCGGAAGAGGCAAGUGGAAUUCCCGGUGUAGCGGUGAAAUGCGCAGAUAUCGGGAGGAACACCAAUUGCGAAGGCAGCUUGCUGGGACGGUACUGACGCUGAGGCGCGAAAGCGUGGGGAGCAAACAGGG
This 254-nucleotide ribosomal RNA is filed under the name uncultured bacterium. Its description in RNAcentral is "partial 16S ribosomal RNA". It matches the Rfam family "Bacterial small subunit ribosomal RNA", at positions 524 to 777 of the family's 1533-position model. The record is from RNAcentral.